GAUGUGCCCAGAUGGGAUUAGCUAGUAGGUGGUAACGGCUCACCUAGGCACGAUCCUAGCUGGUCUGAGAGAUGACCAGCCACACUGGAACUGAGACACGGUCCAGACUCCUACGGAGGCAGCAGUGGGAUAUUGCACAAUGGGCGCAAGCCUUGCAGCCAUGCCGCGUGUAUGAAGAAGGCCUUCGGGUUGUAAAGUACUAUCAGCGAGGAAGAGUAAAGUUAAACCUGCUCAGUCGUUACCCGAGAAGAAGCACCGGCUAACUCCGUGCCAGCAGCCGCGGUAAUACGGAGGGUGCAAGCGUAAUCAAUUACUGGGCGUAAAGCGCACGCAGGCGGUGUUAAGUCAGAUUGAAAUCCGGCUCAACCUGGGAACUGCAUCUGAUACUGGCAAGCUUGAGUCUCGUAGAGGGGUAG
Molecule: ribosomal RNA, 416 nt
Filed under: uncultured bacterium
Lineage: Bacteria
Description: bacterial SSU rRNA
Rfam family: Bacterial small subunit ribosomal RNA
Source: RNAcentral